RNAcentral lists this long non-coding RNA (2786 nucleotides) under Equus caballus (horse). Its description in RNAcentral is "lncRNA (ENSECAG00000054352.1)". The record is from RNAcentral. Lineage: Eukaryota; Metazoa; Chordata; Mammalia; Perissodactyla; Equidae.
GUGAGCCCCAAAUCCCAUGACUGAAGUCUCUAUAAGAGGAGAGGACAUACAGAGAACAUCGUGUGAAGAUGGAGGCAGAGAUUGGAAUGACGCAGCUACAAGGCAAGGAACACCCAGCGGAGCCUUCAGAGAAGGAUGGCCUUGCCAGCACCUUGACUUCAGGCGUCUAGCCUCCAGGACUGUGAGGGAGUGCAUUUCUGUUGUCUUCAGCCGCCAGUUUGUGGGUGAAGAGCAAAAGAAAUGGCCCAGGAGAUGAUGCCUGAGGACACAUCUCACUAGCUCCCCCACAACUCGCUUGUCAGGCUCUGUUGAAAUGCUUCACUCAUAUGCCUCACAAGGAAUCCUGCAGGGCAGCUGUCAGCCUGGGUCCCCCACGUGCAGAGACUUUCAUCAGCAGCUUCUUUAGGGAAGAGAUCCCUGGGAAGAGCAAUGGUGGGGACGGGGGCUGGGAAGAGAGAGACAGGAAAGGAGAAAGGCCCUUCCAAGACUUCUUAAUUGAGCUGAUUACCUGUGGGGGCAACUGAGGUUCAGUCCUGCCAGGGGACACCUGCGAACCGUGCAAAAUGCAGCAGACCAAGGAAGGGGCAUGGCUCUGAUGGCAAAGAGCCUGAGCGGAUAGCAAGGGAGGCCAGGCGGUGUCUGGUCACAUCUGCUGUGGCAACCAGGAGGUGCAAUAGUCACAGAACGGAGCACUGAGAGCUGAGGAUGAGAGUGAGCGGUCUGCCAGCCCCCCUGAGCACCCCCUAUUUUCCACUCUAAAGAGCACCUCUGUUGCAUGGCUCUCUAGCCUUGGCUCAGAGGACCUCAGCAUCAUUUCCAAAAACCAAACCCAUCCUGGAAUAACAAAUACCCGCUUCUCUGUGGAUUCUCAAAGGCAUGUGCUAUCGGCCACUGGAUGCACCAGACGUGAUUUUUUUUUUUUUAAUAGAAGGCAUUUUAAGCCAAGCCUGGCACGCGGGGAACCAUCAGGCCGUGCGUUGCUGUUCAGGUCAACGCUGAGGAGUGACUGUAAAGUGAGGCGUCAGGCUGAUGUAAACCGACUCUGACGGCAGUGCCCAAAGGGAGCUUAAGAGAUGCCCUGAGUCAUGGUGGUGUUGCUGGAACCAGUGUACUGCCGAACUGGGGACUUUUCACGGGACAAAGUCACUCCUAUGUAAAGAUGAUAAUGUAGGCAGAGAGGCCUCCACCCCAUGUGAGGGGAACACAGAGUGCCCGGGUCUCUCCUCGGAGCAAAUACUCAAGCCUUUCCCCAGCCAGUCCCUCCUCGGUGUGUCCAGGGUUCCACGGUACUUUCCUUCUUAAAGGAAACCUGGAGCUGGUGCUCCACAGGUGCUGGCAGCAGUGUGCCCUGCAGCAGAGGACAUCCAGGUGGCUGCCCCCAACCAGCACCAUGCUUGUGGAAGGAAAGAUCACCUUGUGAACCAAGGAACAAGCUCUUUAUGAACCAAGCUGCCCCUGAAGCUCAGACCAAAGUCCCGAGACAGAAGGGGACUGGCCUAGGCCCCAGCUGAUGCCACCAUCCGGGUGGGGAGCCCCUUCAGGGAAGAGCAGCUCCUCAGAGGCGUGCUCAGAUCAGCAAAGCCCUGUGGACCCACGAGGCCUGAGCACAAGGAGCUGAAGCUGCUGCCAUCACCAGCCACCUCCGAGUGCAAGCUGGCCUGGGAGCACUGGGGCCCCCUUACCUCCAAAGCCCGGGCCACCUUCUCCCCACCUGUCUAAUGUUCGACAACUCCAAGGAGCGAGGCUGCUUUUCUCUAAAUCCUCAAUACCAAAGAGUCUGGUUCACUCCUCUUCUGGACGAACGGAGAAGGUGAUGCAAAGAGAGCAGAGCUUGGCGUCAUGCAACCACAAGCCAAGGAACGCCUGGAGCCGCCAGAGGCUGGAAGAGGCCCCUCCUCUAGGGCCUUCGCAGGGAGCACGGCUCUGCCGACGCCUCGACCGCAGACCUCUGGCCUCCGUGACCGCGAGAGGACGUGUUCCUGUGGUUUUAAGUCACGCGGUGUGCGGUAAUUUGUUACAGUCCUAGGAAACUGUUACAACCACUUAGUAAACAAGGCCCAAAUAAAAAGUGCUCAGACCUGGGGACACAGCAAGACGAUGAGACAGGCGCGCAGAUGGUUCAAAGCUCUGCUUCCCAGACGGGAGUCACAGAUCCCAGAGUUCUGGUGACCGCACAGCCUGGCUUCCUGGAAUAUGGAUUUACUCAGAGUCUGAGGAGAAAGUCGAGUAAUUUAACUAAUAAAUAAUUUAAAACAAAGAGGCAUGUAUUGUGGGGCGGAAUGCCAGUUGUGCCUGCGUUUUCUUCAGAUGAGAAAGGAGCUUCAAGGAGAAGCUGCAGUUGUUUGGGGGUUAUGCCCCCCGACUCCUCCAGGAUCCCCACCACCUUGGGGUGUCCACCUGCACCCCCAUGGGGAGAUGGAUUGCCCAAAAGAAAAAUCCAAAGUGAUGGGGGCAAUUCCUCAGACGUCUCACAAGCCGGCUCAGCCGCUGGAACCUGCUGGGCUUCCCGGAAGCUGCUCCUUGGCCCGAAGACUCUCAGGACAGCGAGGCAGCAGCAUCACCAAGGAGAGGCCAAGAGGGAGCCUCAUGGGACCUGGGACCCUGGAGCAUGAGCCGUGGCGCCAGAUGUGGUCCCCAGGAAAGGCCCAUGUUCCCGUUUAAAAAUGGCCCAUUGCAACAUCAAGAGAUGCACGGGACAAAUGACUCUCACAGGAGAAAAUGAGAUUGGCCCCUCAUAGCCUGAAGGACUUACUGGAACGGGGCCUUUUAGCUUGUUUCGGGGAGGG